Molecule: ribosomal RNA, 491 nt
Filed under: uncultured bacterium
Lineage: Bacteria
Description: partial 16S ribosomal RNA
Rfam family: Bacterial small subunit ribosomal RNA
Source: RNAcentral
GAUGAACGCUGUCUACAGGCUUAACACAUGCAAGUCGAGGGGAAACGACGGGGAAGCUUGCUUCCCCGGGCGUCGACCGGCGCACGGGUGAGUAACGCGUAUCCAACCUGCCUCUGACUGAGGGAUAACCCGUCGAAAGUCGGCCUAAUACCUCAUGGCAUCGUCUGCGGGCAUCCAACGACGAUUAAAGAUUUCAUCGGUCAGGGAUGGGGAUGCGUCUGAUUAGCUUGUUGGCGGGGUAACGGCCCACCAAGGCUAAGAUCAGUAGGGGUUCUGAGAGGAAGGUCCCCCACAUUGGAACUGAGACACGGUCCAAACUCCUACGGGAGGCAGCAGUGAGGAAUAUUAGUCAAUGGGCGGGAGCCUGAACCAGCCAAGUAGCGUGCAGGAUGACGGCCCUAUGGGUUGUAAACUGCUUUUAUGCGGGGAUAAAGUGAGGGACGUGUCCUUCAUUGCAGGUACCGCAUGAAUAAGGACCGGCUAAUUCCGUG